GAUGAACGCUGGCGGUCUGCUUAACACAUGCAAGUCGAACGGAAUCCUUCGGGAUUUAGUGGCGGACGGGUGAGUAACGCGUGAGAAUCUGCCUUCAGGUUCGGGACAACAGCUGGAAACGGCUGCUAAUACCGGAUGUGCCGAGAGGUGAAAGCUUUAGUGCCUGAAGAUGAGCUCGCGUCUGAUUAGCUAGUAGGAGUGGUAAUGGCACCCCUAGGCGACGAUCAGUAGCUGGUCUGAGAGGAUGAUCAGCCACACUGGGACUGAGACACGGCCCAGACUCCUACGGGGGGCAGCAGUGGGGAAUUUUCCGCGAUGUGCGCAAGCCUGCCGGAGCAAGACCGCGUGAGGGAAGAAGGUCUGUGGAUUGUAAACCUCUUUUGAUGGGGAAGAAGACAGUGACGGUACCCAUCGAAUCAGCCUCGGCUAACUCCGUGCCAGCCGCCGCGGUAA
Molecule: ribosomal RNA, 453 nt
Filed under: uncultured bacterium
Lineage: Bacteria
Description: partial 16S ribosomal RNA
Rfam family: Bacterial small subunit ribosomal RNA
Source: RNAcentral